This 587-nucleotide ribosomal RNA is filed under the name uncultured bacterium. RNAcentral's name for it is "bacterial SSU rRNA". It matches the Rfam family "Bacterial small subunit ribosomal RNA", at positions 339 to 916 of the family's 1533-position model. The record is from RNAcentral.
CUAAGGGAGGCAGCAGUGGGGAAUCUUGCGCAAUGGGGGAAACCCUGACGCAGCAACGCCGCGUGGGUGAUGAAGGCCUUCGGGUCGUAAAGCCCUGUCAGGUGGGAAGAAACUCAUCGGCACCAAUACUGCCGAUGCUUGACGGUACUACCGGAGGAAGCACCGGCUAACUCCGUGCCAGCAGCCGCGGUAAUACGGAGGGUGCGAGCGUUGUUCGGAAUCAUUGGGCGUAAAGGGCGUGUAGGCGGCUGGGUAAGUCUGAUGUGAAAGCCCGGGGCUCAACCCUGGAAGUGCAUUGGAGACUGCUCGGCUUGAGUACUGGAGAGGAUGGGGGAAUUCCCGGUGUAGAGGUGAAAUUCGUAGAGAUCGGGAGGAAUACCAGUGGCGAAGGCGCCCAUCUGGACGGAUACUGACGCUGAGACGCGAAAGCGUGGGGAGCAAACAGGAUUAGAUACCCUGGUAGUCCACGCUGUAAACGAUGAGCACUAGGUGUAGCGGGUAUUGACCCCUGCUGUGCCGCAGCUAACGCAUUAAGUGCUCCGCCUGGGGAUUACGGUCGCAAGACUAAAACUCAAAUGAAUUGACGG